CUGCGCUUCACCACUUGCUUACACACACACAAAUUGGCGCUCACUGACUGCGGUCUUGGGAACCCUAUUGCUUUUUUUUUUUUGGUAUCUGCUGCGUGCAUUCACUCCCCUACACCGCCAAAAUCAUACAACAUACACGAGCACGUGUGCUAUCGAGGUCUGCUGCGCUUUGCCUGCUGCCCUCGCUCUUUUUCAAGAGCUUCUGUGUGUGCGUGUGUGUAGCUGUAGGUGUGUCUUGCCGUCCGUUCACCUGUUUGCAACAAGCUUCCGUUGCCUCAACACCACUGUCUACUCCGUCAUUCACUCGCUGAGGCCCCCUCCUUUUCGCUCCAUCUUCGCCCACUAUCGCCUACGUGGUCUGUCCCUCCUUUCCCUCACCGUGCACCACCGUGCCGGCUUCAUGCAGAUGCAAGGCAACAUGUACCCUCGGCAGAUGGAAUGGGCCGUGCAUCAGCAACAGCCACAGAGCAUGCAGGGCAACCGACAGGCGGUCGCGUCUCGCGCCUACCACCUAGAGCCCAUCAGCACCAUGCAGCUGCGACAGCAGCGCGGUAGCAUGCCGGGUAUGAUGAUAGGGCAGCAGCCUGGUGGCGGUAUGAUGGACGGCCUGUCGACGUACGGCCCGAGGCCCAUGAUAAGGGACGUGCAGGAUGGGCACAUGGGCCCGCAGCAAGCGGAUGCCGCCCGUGCUGCUGGCUAUGGAACUCAGGGCAUGUACGGCAGUCAUUUGAUGAGCUAUGGCGCUGCGGGGAUGGGGGGAGUAAACAAUUUGCAAAACGGCAAUGCCGCUCUCUUCGCCGCCGGCUCUGCUGGUCAAGCGUCGGAGGGGAACAGCAUCAACUUCAACGGCAUCUUCAACAGCGCAGUCAACCCGCAGGUGCAGUCGUCUGUGGCGGUGCAGGACGACGGUAAGCCGCUUCCGUUUCCUCCUGGAAACCUUCUCGCGCAGUACCCGCCCGAGUACCAGCAGCAGCUCAUCUUUUACUACCGCCUGCUGCGCUUGCAGUACCCGGAGCUGUACCAGCAGUACGUGGACUAUUACGUGAUGUACUAUGAGCCCCUCUAUCAUCCAGCUCCGUCGUCUCUCAGCAAGGACGAUCUCAACGGCGGCCAGCAAAGGAAGAAGGAGCCACUUCUGCAGCAGACGCAGCGGGCCCACAUGCAACGGCAGCAGCCAGCCAUGCCGCAGCCCGGGUAUCAGCCGCCGCCACCGAUGGAGCACGCCCUGCCCUCGGAAGUCAUGUGCCGCACUACAUCGAACCUCAGCGGAGGCCUGAAGCGGCAGAGCUCGCUGCGGCGGCAGAACUCGAUGCGCCGAAACGAGGUCAACCAGCUGAAGAACGAGGGCAGCCUCAAGCGUCUUCCAAGUAUGCGGCAACAAUAGGGUUAGCUGAAGGCAAGAGGUGUCGAAGAUACGCCUCGCCUUUUUGAACCCUGCGGAUGGCCCACGAGGGCUUGAGCGGGCCCUUUCCUUUCCCUUGCCAUCUUUAUCGAGUGGCACGAUACAUUUUUUCUUCUAAGCCGGCUACACUACUCCUUCUUCCUCACUUUUUUUUUCUUCAUUGUUGGGAAGUUGGUCGGCUGAUGGCGCUGUUGAUAGUGUCUCUCCAUCGUCAAGAAUCGGAUGCAGCAUCCAACUGUCUCCUUUUCUAUUGUGCGUUUUUCUUUUUGCCUUCUCUGGCGUCGAUGGAUUCAUAGCUACUCUUCGCCCCCCCCCCCCACUUCUGUUCUCCUUGUGUAGAAAAGUCAAACAGAGAGCGUAACGUGCGCGCGAGUCCAACGGAAGUGUACACGUGUUUAUGCGCGUGUGUGUUUUCGUGCAUGUGUGUGAGAGUGAAAAAAAGGGGAGGGGCCUGUGCCUGCGUUCUUCGACAUGCAAUAUUUUUUUGUUUGUUUGCUUUUCACCAUGGAAUUCCUUUUGCGACUCACUACCAACUCUUGUGUUUGUGCUUCCCUGCUUUACACUUGCUUUCCCUCCCUCUCCUUCUUUUUGAUUUUUUUUUCGUGCCUUUCUCAUCUUAAUCACGGAUGUCAUCGCGCCAUCUGCUCUGCACACGACUCAGUCUUCUCUGUCCACCUCGCCCUUGCGUCUCUUUUCGUUGCCUCCUUUGCUUGCUUGAGGGUGUUCCAGAGUGAAUGGAUCCCACCACUGCAGCCGCCACUCCGCCUUCCAAUUUCUGAUACGUCUACGCCGCGCAACGAUGUUCUUUCGCGCGUCAGCUUCUUUACUGCUACCCCAUCCGCACAGGACCUUCUCUUCUCUCGCCGCCUCUUGCUCUCUCAUUUUGCUUCUCGUUAGGCCAAAUAUUCGUGAAGCGUGCACCUUGAUGCUGGUUCAGUGGAAAGUCUUAGUACGCGCGCUUGCUUAGCUCAAGGAGCCCCUGAACCUCUCGCGCUCGACUGAUGUAGGAGCUAUGUGCUCCUCCUCUCGUUGGUGUGUUCACGUUCCCCAACACCGUGGACAUUUCGACGUGUCGACUUUUCCAUUUUGCGUCCGUCUUUGUUCUGCCUGCAUCUUUCCCCUCUUUCCGAGGUGUGCAAUCUGCGUGUGCCCCUGAUGGCGGCUGUCCGUUUCGCGUGCUGUCAG
RNAcentral lists this unclassified non-coding RNA (2587 nucleotides) under Leishmania donovani. RNAcentral's name for it is "gene:LdHU3.33.4580(CDS-product:hypothetical_prote in_conserved)". The record is from RNAcentral. Lineage: Eukaryota; Euglenozoa; Kinetoplastea; Trypanosomatida; Trypanosomatidae.